CCCGACAACGAAAAAAUCAUGGAUCUCAAGUGGGAAUUUAUGAUCAAGAAAUAUGCCGAAGGGUCCGUGAAGCACAAUGCAAGGCUAGUGGCCAAAGCGUACGUGCAAGAGGAAAGUGUGGACUUCGAAAAAGUGUUCGUUCCCAUUGCAGAGAUGGAAUCAGUGGAAUUAUUCAUCGCUCUCGUGGUUCAGGAAUCAUGGACGAUACAUCACAUGGAUAUAAAAUCCGCAUUUUUAAAUGGCGAGUUAGAAGGAGAGGUUUAUGUGAACCAACCAUCGAGGUUCAUCAAAGAGGGACAAGAGCACAAGGUACUGAAGCUACACAAAGUCUUGUACGGGCUACGGCAAGGCUCUCGGGCAUGGAACAUCAAACUUGAUCAGACGAUGAUUUCUCUUGGAUUUGAGAAAGCCCCACUAGAGUAUGCGAUAUACAAGAGAGGAGAAGGAAAGGGCCGU
This 456-nucleotide ribosomal RNA is filed under the name Triticum aestivum (bread wheat). RNAcentral's name for it is "partial small subunit ribosomal RNA". The record is from RNAcentral. Lineage: Eukaryota; Viridiplantae; Streptophyta; Magnoliopsida; Poales; Poaceae.